This is a small nuclear RNA of Callithrix jacchus (white-tufted-ear marmoset), 104 nucleotides long. Lineage: Eukaryota; Metazoa; Chordata; Mammalia; Primates; Cebidae. The record is from Ensembl.
GUGCUCACUUCAGCAGCACAUAGAUAAAAUUGGAAAGAUACAGGGGAAAUACAUGGCAGCUGUGCAAGGAUAACACACAGAUUUGUGAAGUAUUCUGUAUUUUU